GGAGAGAUGGCCGAGCGGUCGAAGGCGAUGGUCUUGAAAACCAUUGUGGCGCAAGUCACCGUGGGUUCGAAUCCCACUCUCUCCG
RNAcentral lists this transfer RNA (85 nucleotides) under Acidimicrobiia bacterium. RNAcentral describes it as "tRNA-Ser". It matches the Rfam family "tRNA". Rfam says of the family: Transfer RNA (tRNA) molecules are approximately 80 nucleotides in length. Their secondary structure includes four short double-helical elements and three loops (D, anti-codon, and T loops). Lineage: Bacteria; Bacillati; Actinomycetota; Acidimicrobiia. The record is from RNAcentral.